This 331-nucleotide ribosomal RNA is filed under the name uncultured cyanobacterium. Its description in RNAcentral is "bacterial SSU rRNA". It matches the Rfam family "Bacterial small subunit ribosomal RNA", at positions 1 to 339 of the family's 1533-position model. Lineage: Bacteria; Bacillati; Cyanobacteriota. The record is from RNAcentral.
AGUAGUUUGACUCCGUGGCUCGAGGACGAACGCUGGCGGCGUGCUUCAUACAUGCAAGUCGAACGAGAAGCUGACUUCGGUCAGUGGAAAGUGGCGGACGGGUGAGUAAUAUGUAGAGAAUCUGCCCUAGAGUGGGGGACAACCGUUGGAAACGACAGCUAAUACCCCAUAUGAGCGUAGCUGAGAUGCUAUUCUUGAAAACUCCGGUGCUCUGGGAUGAGUCUGCAUCUGAUUAGCUAGUUGGCGGUGUAAUGGACCACCAAGGCGACGAUCAGUAGGGGUUCUGAGAGGAAGGUCCCCCACAUUGGAACUGAGACACGGUCCAAACUCC